GACGAACGCUGGCGGCGUGCUUAACACAUGCAAGUCGAACGGAAAGACCCUGCUUUUGUGGGGUGCUCGAGUGGCGAACGGGUGAGUAACACGUGAGUAACCUGCCCUUGACUUUGGGAUAACUUCAGGUAACUGGGGCUAAUACCGGAUAGGAGCUCCUGCUGCAUGGUGGGGGUUGGAAAGUUUCGGCGGUUGGGGAUGGACUCGCGGCUUAUCAGCUUGUUGGUGGGGUAGUGGCUUACCAAGGCUUUGACGGGUAGCCGGCCUGAGAGGGUGACCGGCCACAUUGGGACUGAGAUACGGCCCAGACUCCUACGGGAGGCAGCAGUGGGGAAUAUUGCACAAUGGGCGGAAGCCUGAUGCAGCAACGCCGCGUGCGGGAUGACGGCCUUCGGGUUGUAAACCGCUUUCGCCUGUGACGAAGCGUGAGUGACGGUAAUGGGUAAAGAAGCACCGGCUAACUACGUG
RNAcentral lists this ribosomal RNA (468 nucleotides) under uncultured bacterium. Its description in RNAcentral is "partial 16S ribosomal RNA". It matches the Rfam family "Bacterial small subunit ribosomal RNA", at positions 28 to 507 of the family's 1533-position model. The record is from RNAcentral.